RNAcentral lists this ribosomal RNA (228 nucleotides) under uncultured bacterium. RNAcentral describes it as "partial 16S ribosomal RNA". It matches the Rfam family "Bacterial small subunit ribosomal RNA", at positions 568 to 796 of the family's 1533-position model. The record is from RNAcentral.
UCCGUAGGCGGGUAAUUAAGUCAGAGGUGAAAUCCCACAGCUUAACUGUGGAACUGCCUUAGAUACUGGUUAUCUUGAGUUUUAGUGAAGUAGAUAGAAUGUGUAGUGUAGCGGUGAAAUGCAUAGAUAUUACACAGAAUACCGAUUGCGAAGGCAGUCUACUAACUAACAACUGACGCUAAUGGACGAAAGCGUGGGGAGCGAACAGGAUUAGAUACCCGGUAGUCC